This 450-nucleotide long non-coding RNA is filed under the name Camelus dromedarius (Arabian camel). RNAcentral describes it as "lncRNA (ENSCDRG00005018279.1)". The record is from RNAcentral. Lineage: Eukaryota; Metazoa; Chordata; Mammalia; Artiodactyla; Camelidae.
AUCUGUCAGGCCGUGGUCGUGGCCGCUUCAGACUGCUGUACCUUAGUGGCUUUGCUUUACAAUGAUGGAAUUCUAAAUUUAAGACUAAAUUUUUGCCCCCAAAGGUAAACGAGGUGAAAGUUUUUGCUUAGUAUUUUACUUGACAUGAGAACUGAUUAUAUAAGGAAACUGACACCUGCAGGUGGCAGCCUGGUCUUGUGUCUGGUUAAGAAGAUGACACCGUGCAUGUGUUGCUCUGGAUGUGUAGUGUGUGAAGGACAACAAAGCGUGGAAGAUGGGAUUGCUGGUGAGAAAGGGACUGGGCCUCAGAGGACAGGAAGGAUGCAAAUGCAAGAAGGGGACCAGGUGAGCCCAGCAGACAGCGGGGUUGAUGGGGUGUCUCUUGUGCUAACAUUUCUGGGCUCGUACCUGUGCCAGGCACCAGGGUGGAGGCUGGAGAGUGUGGUGUGA